RNAcentral lists this ribosomal RNA (478 nucleotides) under uncultured bacterium. RNAcentral's name for it is "bacterial SSU rRNA". It matches the Rfam family "Bacterial small subunit ribosomal RNA", at positions 335 to 799 of the family's 1533-position model. The record is from RNAcentral.
ACUCCUACGGGAGGCAGCAGUGGGAAUAUUGGACAAUGGGGGAACCGUGCAUCAGCCAUGCCGCGUGUGUGAAGAAGGCCUUAUGGUUGUAAAGCACUUUAAGCGAGGAGGAGGCUACUAGUAUUAAUACUACUGGAUAGUGGACGUUACUCGCAGAAUAAGCACCGGCUAACUCUGUGCCAGCAGCCGCGGUAAUACAGAGGGUGCGAGCGUUAAUCGGAUUUACUGGGCGUAAAGCGUGCGUAGGCGGCCAUUUAAGUCAAAUGUGAAAAUCCCCGCAGCUUAACUUUAGGAAUUUGGCAAUUCUGAUACUGGAUGGCUAGAGUAUGGGAGAGGAUGGUAGAAUUCCAGGUGUAGCGGUGAAAUGCGUAGAGAUCUGGAGGAAUACCGAUGGCGAAGGCAGCCAUCUGGCCUAAUACUGACGCUGAGGUACGAAAGCAUGGGGAGCAAACAGGAUUAGAUACCCUGGUAGGCUCUG